RNAcentral lists this ribosomal RNA (385 nucleotides) under uncultured bacterium. RNAcentral's name for it is "bacterial SSU rRNA". It matches the Rfam family "Bacterial small subunit ribosomal RNA", at positions 28 to 414 of the family's 1533-position model. The record is from RNAcentral.
GACGAACGCUGGCGGCGUGCUUAACACAUGCAAGUCGAACGGAAAGGCCCCCUUGUGGGGUACUCGAGUGGCGAACGGGUGAGUAACACGUGAGUAACCUACCCUUGACUUUGGGAUAACUUCAGGAAACUGGGGCUAAUACCGGAUAGGAGCUCCUGCUGCAUGGUGGGGGUUGGAAAGUUUCGGCGGUUGGGGAUGGACUCGCGGCUUAUCAGCUUGUUGGUGGGGUAGUGGCUCACCAAGGCUUUGACGGGUAGCCGGCCUGAGAGGGUGACCGGCCACAUUGGGACUGAGAUACGGCCCAGACUCCUACGGGAGGCAGCAGUGGGGAAUAUUGCACAAUGGCGGAAGCCUGAUGCAGCAAACGCCGCGUGCGGGAUGACGG